Molecule: ribosomal RNA, 497 nt
Filed under: uncultured bacterium
Lineage: Bacteria
Description: partial 16S ribosomal RNA
Rfam family: Bacterial small subunit ribosomal RNA
Source: RNAcentral
GAUGAACGCUGGCGGCGUGCCUAAUACAUGCAAGUCGAGCGAACAGACGAGGAGCUUGCUCCUCUGACGUUAGCGGCGGACGGGUGAGUAACACGUGGAUAACCUACCCAUAAGACUGGGAUAACUUCGGGAAACCGGAGCUAAUACCGGAUAAUAUAUUGAACCGCAUGGUUCAAUAGUGAAAGACGGUUUUGCUGUCACUUAUAGAUGGAUCCGUGCCGCAUUAGCUAGUUGGUAAGGUAACGGCUUACCAAGGCAACGAUGCGUAGCCGACCUGAGAGGGUGAUCGGCCACACUGGAACUGAGACACGGUCCAGACUCCUACGGGAGGCAGCAGUAGGGAAUCUUCCGCAAUGGGCGAAAGCCUGACGGAGCAACGCCGCGUGAGUGAUGAAGGUCUUCGGAUCGUAAAACUCUGUUAUUAGGGAAGAACAAAUGUGUAAGUAACUAUGCACGUCUUGACGGUACCUAAUCAGAAAGCCACGGCUAACUACGUG